AAACUUAUAAUUUUAUUCUAAAA
This 23-nucleotide small nuclear RNA is filed under the name Arabidopsis thaliana (thale cress). RNAcentral's name for it is "snRNA_12003". The record is from RNAcentral. Lineage: Eukaryota; Viridiplantae; Streptophyta; Magnoliopsida; Brassicales; Brassicaceae.